GAGUCGCAUGCUAUGGACCCGAAGCGGAGUGAUCUACCCAUGGCCAGGGUGAAGCGACGGUAAGACGUCGUGGAGGCCCGAACCCACUUAGGUUGAAAACUGAGGGGAUGAGCUGUGGGUAGGGGUGAAAGGCCAAUCAAACUCCGUGAUAGCUGGUUCUCCCCGAAAUGCAUUUAGGUGCAGCGUCACGUGUUUCACGCCGGAGGUAGAGCUACUGGAUGGCCUAGGGGGCCCACAAGCUUACCGAAGUCAGCCAAACUCCGAAUGCCGGUGUGUGAGAGCGUGGCAGUGAGACUGCGGGGGAUAAGCUUCGUAGUCGAGAGGGAAACAGCCCAGAUCGCCGGCUAAGGCCCCUAAGCGUGUACUAAGUGGAAAAGGAUGUGGGGUCGCAGAGACAACCAGGAGGUUGGCUUAGAAGCAGCCACCCUUGAAAGAGUGCGUAAUAGCUCACUGGUCAAGUGAUCCUGCGCCGACAAUGUAGCGGGGCUCAAGUACACCGCCGAAGCCGCGGCAGUCACACAUGUACAUUCCCUUCGGGGCAGUGGUGUGGCUGGGUAGGGGAGCGUCGUGUAGCCAGGGAAGCAGCAGGGUGACCUAGUUGUGGAGGCUGCGCGAGUGAGAAUGCAGGCAUGAGUAGCGAAAGACGAGUGAGAAACUCGUCCGCCGAAUGACCAAGGGUUCCUGGGCCAGGUUAAUCCGCCCAGGGUGAGUCGGGACCUAAGACGAGGCCGACAGGCGUAGCCGAUGGACAACGGGUUGAUAUUCCCGUACCCGUGUAUCCGCGCCCAAUGGCGAAUCAGUUGUGCUAACCGUCCAAAACCCAAUAGACCACCUUCGGGUGGCUGGAGGGGGCUGCACGGGACCCUGAUUGUAGUAGUCAAGCGAUGGGGUGACGCAGGAAGGUAGCUGGGCCAGGUGAUGGAAUACCUGGUGUAAGCCGGUAGGGCGAGACGUAGGCAAAUCCGCGUCUCAUACAGCCUGAGAGGUGAUGCGUAGCCGAUUGAGGCGAAUUCAGUGAUCCUAUGCUGCCGAGAAAAGCCUCUAGUGAGUUGGUACACGGCCCGUACCCCAAACCGACACAGGUGGUCAGGUAGAGAAUACUAAGGCGAUCGAGAGAACUGUGGUUAAGGAACUCGGCAAAAUGCCCCCGUAACUUCGGGAGAAGGGGGACCACGGCUGGUGACGGAACUUGCUUCCUGAGCUGGUGGUGGUCGCAGAGACCAGAGAGAAGCGACUGUUUACUAAAAACACAGGUCCGUGCGAAGUCGUAAGACGAUGUAUACGGACUGACGCCUGCCCGGUGCCGGAAGGUUAAGAGGACCGGUUAGCGAAGCAAUUCGCGAAGCUGAGAAUUUAAGCCCCGGUAAACGGCGGUGGUAACUAUAACCAUCCUAAGGUAGCGAAAUUCCUUGUCGGGUAAGUUCCGACCUGCACGAAUGGCGUAACGACUUCUCUGCUGUCUCAACCACAGACUCGGCGAAAUUGCAUUACGAGUAAAGAUGCUCGUUACGCGCGGCAGGACGAAAAGACCCCGGGACCUUCACUAUAGCUUGGUAUUGGUGUUCGGUACGGUUUGUGUAGGAUAGGUGGGAGACUGUGAAAGCGGCACGCUAGUGUCGUGGGAGUCGUCGUUGAAAUACCACUCUGAUCGUAUUGGACCUCUAACCUCGGACCCUGAUCGGGUUCAGGGACAGUGCCUGGUGGGUAGUUUAACUGGGGCGGUUGCCUCCCAAAAUGUAACGGAGGCGCCCAAAGGUUCCCUCAGCCUGGUUGGCAAUCAGGUGUCGAGUGCAAGUGCACAAGGGAGCUUGACUGUGAGACAGACAUGUCGAGCAGGGACGAAAGUCGGGACUAGUGAUCCGGCACCGGCAUGUGGAAGCGGUGUCGCUCAACGGAUAAAAGGUACCCCGGGGAUAACAGGCUGAUCUUCCCCAAGAGUCCAUAUCGACGGGAUGGUUUGGCACCUCGAUGUCGGCUCGUCGCAUCCUGGGGCUGGAGUAGGUCCCAAGGGUUGGGCUGUUCGCCCAUUAAAGCGGCACGCGAGCUGGGUUUAGAACGUCGUGAGACAGUUCGGUCUCUAUCCGCCGCGCGCGUUAGAAACUUGAGGAAGGCUGUCCCUAGUACGAGAGGACCGGGACGGACGAACCUCUGGUGUGCCAGUUGUUCCGCCAGGAGCACUGCUGGUUGGCCACGUUCGGAAGGGAUAACCGCUGAAAGCAUCUAAGCGGGAAGCCUGUUCCAAGAUGAGGUUUCUCACCCCCUCGAGGGGGUAAGGCCCCCAACAGACCAUUGGGUUGAUAGGCCAGAACUGGAAGCGCGGUAACGUGUGGAGGUGACUGGUACUAAUAGGCCGAGGACUUACCAAC
This 2366-nucleotide ribosomal RNA is filed under the name Nocardia otitidiscaviarum NBRC 14405. Its description in RNAcentral is "bacterial LSU rRNA". It matches the Rfam family "Bacterial large subunit ribosomal RNA", at positions 697 to 2925 of the family's 2925-position model. Lineage: Bacteria; Bacillati; Actinomycetota; Actinomycetes; Mycobacteriales; Nocardiaceae. The record is from RNAcentral.